AGACGGGAUGCUGGACGAGAUGGGCCGUGGCCUGAUCCAGCAGGCUCCUNUUACAUUCUUAUGUGGGCAGGUGUCCCUUUCCUACCUCACUGCUUUAUGUGCCUCCCUCCUGAAUCUGUGUGUUCUGUGGAAGAGGAUGGCUAUCCCCUUCAGUCAGGGGUAUUUAAUAACUAUGCUCCACUGCUGAAAGCUCCANCCAAGCCCAAGUCCAUAGGAAUAGUAGUUGUUUAGGAGCAGGUAGACAAUAAGAAGGAGAAAACCUUGAUUUCUAUUUUU
This 276-nucleotide small RNA is filed under the name Salvator merianae (Argentine black and white tegu). RNAcentral's name for it is "7SK RNA (ENSSMRG00000002210.1)". The stretch from base 27 to 174 matches the Rfam family "7SK RNA". Rfam says of the family: 7SK was discovered as an abundant small nuclear RNA in the mid-70s but a possible function has only recently been suggested. Two independent studies have found that 7SK RNA binds the CDK9/cyclin T complex (known as elongation factor P-TEFb). P-TEFb activates transcription by phosphorylating the C-terminal domain of RNA polymerase II. The record is from RNAcentral. Lineage: Eukaryota; Metazoa; Chordata; Lepidosauria; Squamata; Teiidae.